GCCGCCGACGCCGCAGGCAGCCGCGCUCGGUAGGAGCAGCCUCUGCACGGGACAAUUCUCCACAUAAUCUGGUGACGCAAGCCGUCGACCCACCGGAAGUACUCCGUGUCGUGCGGCUGCUCUUCUGGACGCUCUCGGCGCUGCUCGUCCAUGGCGUGAUCUCCGCUACCGCUGCCUCCAACCACGCUGACCUCUUGCUCCAGUUCUUCCACUUGGCUUACAGCUGGGCGGGUUCUGGGCUUCUGGCCGGAGCCAGCCACCGUGGCGCUCCUCUACCACGCCCGCUGCAUCCUCCUCGGGACCAUGCCGCCCUUCUCUGUUUCCCUGACGAGGCCACUGUCGCAGGCAUUUUGCAGCGCUGCUCCCAUCCAGAUGCUUUGUUGUGGCGCUCCUCCUGUCAUUCUCUCCAUUUAAAUGUUUGAGCGAGAAAUCAAUGGCGCUUUCUAGCUGUGCGGGAGUGGACAUGUUCAGCGUGUGUGGGAUUUCUCAAGUUCCAAGCUGACAUCGUCGAUGAGAAGACUGAACCCAAGGCUGAAGGUGGAGGAGGGCGUGGACGGGAUUUGGUCCCAGCAUUGCACUCAGAGAUGCUCUAAUAUUUAAGGAGUCCUUGUUUCUUAUAUUAUAUUUUAUCACAUUGCCAUCAAAUUAAAUUGCUUGAUUGAGUAAAUAGCUUCAUAAUGUACUAGUAAAUCUUUGCUACCAUUAUUGGCAAGUUUUUGUAAGUAAUCUUUCUAGUCAAGCACUUGUGUAUCAUCUAUAGUAAUCUUAUGUUUUGCCAUUUUUCUCUUCUGAUUUUCUCAUCUUGUUUUCAUAGGCUUACUGGCUGCGUCUUCUAUGCUACUUGGUACACUCGUUAGACCCCAAAGCGAUGAAAUCUUCAUUUUUUGUUAAUACAAUAUUACGUGAAAUGCUUAUUAAUAGUGCUGCUUAUUUAAAGUACUACAUUACAGAAUCUGUUUUGUUAAUUUUUACCAUCAAUGCAAAGACAAACAUGUAUUUGCGUGCUAAUUUUGCUACUUUAUUACAUUCAUGUUUGUUUUAGGAAAGUACAUAUGCGCAUGAAAAAUUGUUGCAUUGUCUAAGGUCCAAUUCCAAACUAGUUGAAGUGGAAUUCAUUUAGUUAGUUUUAUGACACAUGCUAGUAAGUAUUUUGCAAUUCAUUUAGUUCCACUCUUUUUCAUCUUGCACGUUCUGGUACUACAAUCAUGCCACUAGUUCGGGAGAGUGAGAGGGAAAGGAGGGCAUUCCUCGCGGAACAUAAACGCAUGGGUGAUGUGUAUGCUAAGCUAAGGGGUGCAUUGAUUACAUGUACUUUAACCAUUAUACCUCUAGCUCAAGGUUAUGCAUGUUAUCUUGUCAAUUUUCAUCUCAUUAUGAUGCAACGUUGUUGUGUUUGUCAUUUAUAGGCAUCGGGAGGAGUUAGCCGCAAGACUUGAAGCACAAGAGAGAGCAUUUGAAGAGAUACAAAAGAAGCAGCAAGAAGAAUUGGAAGCUCUAAAGAAGAUCCAACAAGAGAAGAAUGAAGCCUAGGCAAAGAAGCAAAAGGAGAUGGAUAAUCUGCUUGAUUUUCUCUUGAGGGCUCAAGCAACUUAGCAAGCAACUCUGUAGUCCCAGUCCAAACCAGAUGGUUCAUGAAAGCCAUCCUUACAUUGCAAUCAUCAGGACAACAUAUGUGGUCUUUAGUUAAUAUUAGUUUUCAUCUUGUCUAUUGUCUAUGUCAAACUUGAGUCAGUUUUUUACCGUCAUUUUUGUUUACAGAAUGAUUUGGCUGAUACAAUCUCAUAUAUAAUAUGAUUUGUCUUACAUAUCAA
Molecule: long non-coding RNA, 1811 nt
Organism: Aegilops tauschii subsp. strangulata
Lineage: Eukaryota; Viridiplantae; Streptophyta; Magnoliopsida; Poales; Poaceae
Source: RefSeq, a predicted model, not a curated record